This 77-nucleotide small RNA is filed under the name Klebsiella indica. Its description in RNAcentral is "ABC transporter regulator". It matches the Rfam family "ABC transporter regulator". Rfam says of the family: DapZ sRNA, encoded in the 3'-UTR of the conserved dapB gene, as a translational repressor with a GcvB-like seed domain. The record is from RNAcentral. Lineage: Bacteria; Pseudomonadati; Pseudomonadota; Gammaproteobacteria; Enterobacterales; Enterobacteriaceae.
UUACCCAUCGUGAUGUGGUUAUUGUGAUCAAUAAGUAAUUGAUUGCAAGGGGCAAUAUCUUGUUGCCCUUUUUAUUU